This 115-nucleotide small nuclear RNA is filed under the name Chrysemys picta bellii (western painted turtle). RNAcentral describes it as "U4 spliceosomal RNA (ENSCPBG00000027706.1)". Lineage: Eukaryota; Metazoa; Chordata; Testudines; Emydidae. The record is from RNAcentral.
AGCAACAGUGGCAGUACCAUUGCUAAUGAAGUUAAUCUGAGGUGUGAUUAUUGCUAGUUGAACCAUUUAACAGCCCUUUACAUUAUCGAUUUGUAAAUGGAACCUUCAUACAAAG